AGCAGCCGCGGUAAUUCCAGCUCCAAUAGCGUAUAUUAAAGUUGUUGCAGUUAAAAGCUCGUAGUUGAAUUUCGGGAUCAGUACGCCGGUCGUGCCUUCGGUAUGCACUGGUGUCACUGGUUUCUCCCUUCUGAAGAACCAUCAUGCCAUUAAGUUGGUGUGGCGGGAAAUCAGGACUGUUACUUUGAAAAAUUGAGUGUUUAAAGCAGGCUCGCGCUUGAAUACAUUAGCAUGGAAUAAUGAAAUAGGACGUUUGACCCUUAUUUUGUUGGUUUC
RNAcentral lists this unclassified non-coding RNA (276 nucleotides) under uncultured Glomus. Its description in RNAcentral is "sequence contains 18S rRNA gene". It matches the Rfam family "Eukaryotic small subunit ribosomal RNA", at positions 569 to 851 of the family's 1831-position model. Lineage: Eukaryota; Fungi; Glomeromycota; Glomeromycetes; Glomerales; Glomeraceae. The record is from RNAcentral.